GGAAGUAAAAGUCGUAACACGGUUUCCGUAGGUGAACCUGCGGAAGGAUCAUUCAUAAUAAAGUGUUUUAUGGCACUUUUUAAAAAUCCAUAUCCACCUUGUGUGCAAUGUUAGAUCUCGUCAAUCUUGGCGAGAUUUUUAUACAUCAACUCAUUCUUUAACUAAUUUGUCUGAAAAAUAUUAUGAAUACUUAAUUCAAAAUACAACUUUCAACAACGGAUCUCUUGGCUCUC
RNAcentral lists this unclassified non-coding RNA (233 nucleotides) under plant metagenome. Its description in RNAcentral is "partial contains small subunit ribosomal RNA, internal transcribed spacer 1, and 5.8S ribosomal RNA". The stretch from base 1 to 54 matches the Rfam family "Eukaryotic small subunit ribosomal RNA", at positions 1778 to 1831 of the family's 1831-position model. The record is from RNAcentral.